AUUUCAACCCUCAAGCCCGCUGCGCGCUUGCUGUUGGGGACCGGCUCACCCGCCUCGCGGCGGCGGCCGCCCCCGAAAUGAAUCGGCGGUCUCGUCGCAGCCUCCUUUGCGUAGUAACACACCACCUCGCAACCGGGAGCGCGGCGCGGCCACUGCCGUAAAACGCCCAACUUUCUCCAAGAGU
Non-coding RNA from Epichloe festucae Fl1, 184 nucleotides. Lineage: Eukaryota; Fungi; Ascomycota; Sordariomycetes; Hypocreales; Clavicipitaceae. The record is from the annotation of a GenBank genome assembly.